This 679-nucleotide ribosomal RNA is filed under the name uncultured bacterium. Its description in RNAcentral is "bacterial SSU rRNA". It matches the Rfam family "Bacterial small subunit ribosomal RNA", at positions 8 to 694 of the family's 1533-position model. The record is from RNAcentral.
AGAGUUUGAUCCUGGCUCAGGACGAACGCUGGCGGCGUGCUUAACACAUGCAAGUCGAACGAUGAAGCCUAGCUUGCUAGGUGGAUUAGUGGCGAACGGGUGAGUAAUACGUGAGUAACCUACCUUUAACUCUGGGAUAAGCCCGGGAAACUGGGUCUAAUACCGGAUACGACCAAUCUCCGCAUGGGGUGUUGGUGGAAAGCGUUAUGUAGUGGUUAUAGAUGGGCUCACGGCCUAUCAGCUUGUUGGUGAGGUAACGGCUCACCAAGGCGACGACGGGUAGCCGGCCUGAGAGGGUGACCGGCCACACUGGGACUGAGACACGGCCCAGACUCCUACGGGAGGCAGCAGUGGGGAAUAUUGCACAAUGGGCGCAAGCCUGAUGCAGCGACGCCGCGUGAGGGAUGACGGCCUUCGGGUUGUAAACCUCUGUUAGCAGGGAAGAAGAGAGAUUGACGGUACCUGCAGAGAAAGCGCCGGCUAACUACGUGCCAGCAGCCGCGGUAAUACGUAGGGCGCGAGCGUUGUCCGGAAUUAUUGGGCGUAAAGAGCUUGUAGGCGGUUUGUCGCGUCUGCUGUGAAAGGCCGGGGCUUAACUCCGUGUAUUGCAGUGGGUACGGGCAGACUAGAGUGCAGUAGGGGAGACUGGAAUUCCUGGUGUAGCGGUGAAAUGCGUAGA